UCAUACGGGAGGCAGCAGUGGGGAAUAUUGCACAAUGGGGGAAACCCUGAUGCAGCCAUGCCGCGUGUGUGAAGAAGGCCUUCGGGUUGUAAAGCACUUUCAGUUGUGAGGAAAAGUUAGUAGUUAAUACCUGCUAGCCGUGACGUUAACAACAGAAGAAGCACCGGCUAACUCCGUGCCAGCAGCCGCGGUAAUACGGAGGGUGCGAGCGUUAAUCGGAAUUACUGGGCGUAAAGCGCACGCAGGCGGUUUGUUAAGCUAGAUGUGAAAGCCCCGGGCUCAACCUGGGAUGGUCAUUUAGAACUGGCAGACUAGAGUCUUGGAGAGGGGAGUGGAAUUCCAGGUGUAGCGGUGAAAUGCGUAGAUAUCUGGAGGAACAUCAGUGGCGAAGGCGACUCCCUGGCCAAAGACUGACGCUCAUGUGCGAAAGUGUGGGUAGCGAACAGGAUUAGAUACCCUGGUAGUCCACACCGUAAACGCUGUCUACUAGCUGUGUGUGUCUUUAAGACGUGCGUAGCGAAGCUAACGCGCUAAG
RNAcentral lists this ribosomal RNA (535 nucleotides) under bacterium A6S_VP7_E6. RNAcentral's name for it is "bacterial SSU rRNA". It matches the Rfam family "Bacterial small subunit ribosomal RNA", at positions 337 to 864 of the family's 1533-position model. The record is from RNAcentral.